This 265-nucleotide signal recognition particle RNA is filed under the name Tyzzerella sp. OttesenSCG-928-J15. RNAcentral's name for it is "signal recognition particle sRNA large type". It matches the Rfam family "Bacterial large signal recognition particle RNA". From Rfam's summary of the family: The signal recognition particle (SRP) is a universally conserved ribonucleoprotein involved in the co-translational targeting of proteins to membranes. Archaeal SRP consists of a 7S RNA and homologues of the eukaryotic SRP19 and SRP54 proteins. The record is from RNAcentral. Lineage: Bacteria; Bacillati; Bacillota; Clostridia; Lachnospirales; Lachnospiraceae.
CCGUGCUAGCCGGGGAAUUAGCGGCUCCCUGCACCGGCAAUCCGCUACAGCCGGGGUGAUGUUUGCACUAGGCUUUUUGUUUUAAGGCUGCCUUGUAUAAGCGGCGUUGAUUUUGAGGCCUUGCCCAAUGGAGCUUGCGUGAAGCGUGUCAGGUCCGGAAGGAAGCAGCACUAAGCGAUUUAGCCUUCAUGUGACGCGAGUUUACCUCAAAUGAGUUAGCUUAUAUAAGUAACGCUUAGGGCGACUGUCAACUGCAAAUGCACGG